CGCGCUCUGGAACACGGUGAGCCCGAUGCCGGUGCCGACGAUGCGGAGCAUCCGGCGACGCCGGGGUUCGGGCUCCCGGGGCGUAC
RNAcentral lists this transfer RNA (86 nucleotides) under Streptomyces badius. Its description in RNAcentral is "tRNA-Gly". Lineage: Bacteria; Bacillati; Actinomycetota; Actinomycetes; Kitasatosporales; Streptomycetaceae. The record is from RNAcentral.